CCUACGGGUGGCAGCAGUGAGGAAUAUUGGUCAAUGGCCGGAAGGCUGAACCAGCCAUGCCGCGUGAAGGUCAGUGCCCUAUGGGCGUUAAACUUCUUUUGUGCGGGAGCAAUAAUGGUCACGUGUGGCCAGACGAGAGUACCGUACGAAUAAGCAUCGGCUAACUCCGUGCCAGCAGCCGCGGUAAUACGGGGGAUGCAAGCGUUAUCCGGAUUUAUUGGGUUUAAAGGGUGCGUAGGCUGUGAGGUAAGUCAGCGGUGAAAUGCCCCCGCUCAACGGGGUGAAGUGCCAUUGAUACUGCCUGGCUGGAAUGCGGAUGCGGUGGGAGGAAUGUGUGGUGUAGCGGUGAAAUGCAUAGAUAUCACACAGAACACCGAUUGCGAAGGCAUCUCACGAAUCCGCGAUUGACGCUGAUGCACGAAAGCGUGGGUAUCAAACAGGAGUAGAUACCCGGGUAGUC
RNAcentral lists this ribosomal RNA (460 nucleotides) under uncultured bacterium. RNAcentral's name for it is "partial 16S ribosomal RNA". It matches the Rfam family "Bacterial small subunit ribosomal RNA", at positions 338 to 795 of the family's 1533-position model. The record is from RNAcentral.